RNAcentral lists this ribosomal RNA (551 nucleotides) under uncultured Glomeromycotina. RNAcentral describes it as "SSU rRNA". It matches the Rfam family "Eukaryotic small subunit ribosomal RNA", at positions 548 to 1098 of the family's 1831-position model. Lineage: Eukaryota; Fungi; Glomeromycota. The record is from RNAcentral.
UUGGAGGGCAAGUCUGGUGCCAGCAGCCGCGGUAAUUCCAGCUCCAAUAGCGUAUAUUAAAGUUGUUGCAGUUAAGAAGCUCGUAGUUGAAUUUCGGGAUUCAUCCGUUGGUCGGGCUUCACGGUCCGUACUGGUGUGAUGGGUUCCUACCUUCUGAAUAACCGGCAUGCCAUUAAUUUGGUGCGCCGGGGAAGCAGAACUAUUACCUUGAAAAAAUUAGAGUGCUUAAAGCAGGCAAGUGCCUGAAUAGGUUAGCAUGGAAUAAUAAAAUAGGACGGCAUGGUUCUAUUUUGUUGGUUUCUAGGAUCACCGUAAUGAUUAAUAGGGAUAGUUGGGGGCAUUAGUAUUCAAUUGUCAGAGGUGAAAUUCUUGGAUUUAUUGAAGACUAACUUCUGCGAAAGCAUUUGCCAAGGAUGUUUUCAUUAAUCAAGAACGAAAGUUAGGGGAUCGAAGACGAUCAGAUACCGUCGUAGUCUUAACCAUAAACUAUGCCGACUAGGGAUCGGAUGAUGUUAAUUUUUUAAUGACUCAUUCGGCGCCUUACGGGAAAC